Molecule: ribosomal RNA, 460 nt
Filed under: uncultured bacterium
Lineage: Bacteria
Description: partial 16S ribosomal RNA
Rfam family: Bacterial small subunit ribosomal RNA
Source: RNAcentral
CCUACGGGUGGCAGCAGUGAGGAAUAUUGGUCAAUGGACGAGAGUCUGAACCAGCCAAGUAGCGUGAAGGAUGACUGCCCUAUGGGUUGUAAACUUCUUUUAUAUGGGAAUAAAAUGUUCCACGUGUGGGAUUUUGUAUGUACCAUAUGAAUAAGGAUCGGCUAACUCCGUGCCAGCAGCCGCGGUAAUACGGAGGGUCCGAGCGUUAUCCGGAUUUAUUGGGUUUAAAGGACGCGUAGGUGGAUUGUUAAGUCAGUUGUGAAAGUUUGGGGCUCAACCGGAAAAUUGCAGUUGAAACUGGCAGUCUUGAGUGCAGUAGAGGGGGGCGGAAUUCGUGGUGUAGCGGUGAAAUGCUUAGAGAUCACGAAGAAUACCGAUGGCGAAGGCAGCUCACUGGACUGAAACUGACACUGAGGCUCGAAAGUGUGGGUAUCAAACAGGAUUAGAUACCCUAGUAGUC